RNAcentral lists this ribosomal RNA (95 nucleotides) under Pteropus alecto (black flying fox). Lineage: Eukaryota; Metazoa; Chordata; Mammalia; Chiroptera; Pteropodidae. The record is from RNAcentral.
GUCUACAGCUAUGCCAUCCUGAACAAGCUAAGCAGGGUCAGGCCUGAUUCGUACUUGGAUGGGAGACCACCAAGGAAUACCAGGUGCUGUAGGCG